AGGGCAGGUCUGAGGAUGAUCUGGAUGAGGUUCUGAUCUCACUGACCUUACUCCGAUCUAUGAGGGAUAUUGUCACCAAUGUCACAUCAGAGCUCGGGCUCCAUGUUCCAGACAUAUUGCUGGAUGAGGACACUGCUCAUAGACAUGUGAAGAUAUCAGAAGAUCUGAAAACAGCAGCAACAUUAAUAAAUAAA
Molecule: long non-coding RNA, 194 nt
Organism: Bufo bufo (common toad)
Lineage: Eukaryota; Metazoa; Chordata; Amphibia; Anura; Bufonidae
Exons: 3
Source: RefSeq, a predicted model, not a curated record